UAGGGAAUAUUGCAAAAUGGGCGAAAGCCCGAUGCAGCAACGCCGCGUGGGCGAUGAAGGCCUUCGGGUCGUAAAGCCCUUUUUGAGGGGAUGAGGAAGGACAGUACCCUCAGAAUAAGCCUCGGCUAACUACGUGCCAGCAGCCGCGGUAAAACGUAGGAGGCGAGCGUUAUCCGGAUUUACUGGGCGUAAAGCGCGUGCGGGCGGAUUGGAGAGUUGGAUGUGAAAGCUCCCGGCUUAACUGGGAGAGGUCGUUCAAUACUUCCAGUCUUGAGUGCAGUAGAGGGAAGUAGAAUUCCGGGUGUAGUGGUGAAAUGCGUAGAUAUCCGGAGGAACACCAGUGGCGAAAGCGGCUUCCUGGACUGUAACUGACGCUCAGACGCGAAAGCUAGGGUAGCAAACG
RNAcentral lists this ribosomal RNA (403 nucleotides) under uncultured bacterium. RNAcentral's name for it is "bacterial SSU rRNA". It matches the Rfam family "Bacterial small subunit ribosomal RNA", at positions 355 to 774 of the family's 1533-position model. The record is from RNAcentral.